This 69-nucleotide transfer RNA is filed under the name Rattus norvegicus (Norway rat). It matches the Rfam family "tRNA". Rfam says of the family: Transfer RNA (tRNA) molecules are approximately 80 nucleotides in length. Their secondary structure includes four short double-helical elements and three loops (D, anti-codon, and T loops). Further hydrogen bonds mediate the characteristic L-shaped molecular structure. tRNAs have two regions of fundamental functional importance: the anti-codon, which is responsible for specific mRNA codon recognition, and the 3' end, to which the tRNAs corresponding amino acid is attached (by aminoacyl-tRNA synthetases). tRNAs cope with the degeneracy of the genetic code in two manners: having more than one tRNA (with a specific anti-codon) for a particular amino acid; and 'wobble' base-pairing, i.e. permitting non-standard base-pairing at the 3rd anti-codon position. Lineage: Eukaryota; Metazoa; Chordata; Mammalia; Rodentia; Muridae. The record is from Rfam by way of RNAcentral.
GGGGAUUUAGCUCAGUGGUAGAGCGUUUGCCUAGCAAGCACAAGGCCCUGGGUUCGGUCCACAGCUCCG